GAUGAACGCUGGCGGCGUGCUUAACACAUGCAAGUCGAACGGAAAGGCCCAAGCUUGCUUGGGUACUCGAGUGGCGAACGGGUGAGUAACACGUGGGUGAUCUGCCCCGCACUUCGGGAUAAGCCUGGGAAACUGGGUCUAAUACCGGAUAGGACAGUGGUUUGGAUGCCAUUGUGGAAAGUUUUUUCGGUGUGGGAUGAGCUCGCGGCCUAUCAGCUUGUUGGUGGGGUAAUGGCCUACCAAGGCGUCGACGGGUAGCCGGCCUGAGAGGGUGUACGGCCACAUUGGGACUGAGAUACGGCCCAGACUCCUACGGGAGGCAGCGGUGGGGAAGAUUGCACAAUGGGCGCAAGCCUGAUGCAGCGACGCCGCGUGGGGGAUGACGGCCUUCGGGUUGUAAACUCCUUUCGCUAGGGACGAAGCGUUAUGUGACGGUACCUAGAGAAGAAGCACCGGCUAACUACGUG
RNAcentral lists this ribosomal RNA (467 nucleotides) under uncultured bacterium. RNAcentral describes it as "partial 16S ribosomal RNA". It matches the Rfam family "Bacterial small subunit ribosomal RNA", at positions 28 to 507 of the family's 1533-position model. The record is from RNAcentral.